UAAGGAAUAUUGGUCAAUGGACGCAAGUCUGAACCAGCCAUGCCGCGUGAAGGAUGAAGGUCCUCUGGAUUGUAAACUUCUUUUAUCUGGGACGAAAACGGGAUUUUUAUCUCAAUUGACGGUACCAGAGGAAUAAGCACCGGCUAACUCCGUGCCAGCAGCCGCGGUAAUACGGAGGGUGCGAGCGUUAUCCGGAUUUACUGGGUUUAAAGGGUGCGUAGGUGGGCUUAUAAGUCAGUGGUGAAAUCUCCGAGCUUAACUUGGAAACUGCCGUUGAUACUAUAGGUCUUGAAUUAUCUGGAGGUAAGCGGAAUAUGUCAUGUAGCGGUGAAAUGCUUAGAUAUGACACAGAACACCGAUUGCGAAGGCAGCUUGCUAAGCUGUAACUGACGCUGAGGCACGAAAGCGUGGGGAGCAAACA
Molecule: ribosomal RNA, 421 nt
Filed under: uncultured bacterium
Lineage: Bacteria
Description: bacterial SSU rRNA
Rfam family: Bacterial small subunit ribosomal RNA
Source: RNAcentral